Molecule: ribosomal RNA, 429 nt
Filed under: Gemmatimonadota bacterium
Lineage: Bacteria; Pseudomonadati; Gemmatimonadota
Description: Gemmatimonadetes bacterium partial 16S ribosomal RNA
Rfam family: Bacterial small subunit ribosomal RNA
Source: RNAcentral
UAGGGAAUCUUCGGCAAUGGACGAAAGUCUGACCGAGCAACGCCGCGUGAGUGAAGAAGGUUUUCGGAUCGUAAAACUCUGUUGUUAGAGAAGAACAAGGACGUUAGUAACUGAACGUCCCCUGACGGUAUCUAACCAGAAAGCCACGGCUAACUACGUGCCAGCAGCCGCGGUAAUACGUAGGUGGCAAGCGUUGUCCGGAUUUAUUUGGCGUAAAGCGAGCGCAGGCGGUUUCUUAAGUCUGAUGUGAAAGCCCCCGGCUCAACCGGGGAGGGUCAUUGGAAACUGGGGGGCUUGAGUGCAGAAGAGGAGAGUGGAAUUCCAUGUGUAGCGGUGAAAUGCGUAGAUAUAUGGAGGAACACCAGUGGCGAAGGCGGCUCUCUGGUCUGUAACUGACGCUGAGGCUCGAAAGCGUGGGGAGCAAACAGG